AUUGAACGCUGGCGGCAUGCUUUACACAUGCAAGUCGAACGGUAACGGGCCGCAAGGUGCUGGCGAGUGGCGAACGGGUGAGUAAUGCAUCGGAACGUGCCCAGUCGUGGGGGAUAACUACUCGAAAGAGUAGCUAAUACCGCAUACGAUCUAUGGAUGAAAGCGGGGGACCGUAAGGCCUCGCGCGAUUGGAGCGGCCGAUGUCAGAUUAGGUAGUUGGUGGGGUAAAGGCUCACCAAGCCAACGAUCUGUAGCUGGUCUGAGAGGACGACCAGCCACACUGGGACUGAGACACGGCCCAGACUCCUACGGGAGGCAGCAGUGGGGAAUUUUGGACAAUGGGCGCAAGCCUGAUCCAGCAAUGCCGCGUGCAGGAAGAAGGCCUUCGGGUUGUAAACUGCUUUUGUACGGAACGAAACGGCUCUGGUUAAUACCCGGGGCUAAUGACGGUACCGUAAGAAUAAGCACCGGCUAACUACGUG
This 482-nucleotide ribosomal RNA is filed under the name uncultured bacterium. RNAcentral describes it as "partial 16S ribosomal RNA". It matches the Rfam family "Bacterial small subunit ribosomal RNA", at positions 30 to 507 of the family's 1533-position model. The record is from RNAcentral.